AUUGAACGCUGGCGGCAGGCCUAACACAUGCAAGUCGAGCGAGCGGCGGACGGGUGAGUAAUUUCUGGGCACCUGCCUGAUGGAGGGGGAUAACUACUGGAAACGGUAGCUAAUAACGCAUACCAUCAGAUGUGCCCAGAUGGGAUGAGCUAGUGGGUUGGGUAAUGGCUCACCUAGGCGACGAUCCCUAGCUGGUCUGAGAGGAUGACCAGCCACACUGGAACUGAGACACGGUCCAGACUCCUACGGUAGGCAGAAGUGGGGAAUAUUGCACAAUGGGCGCAAGCCUGAUGCAGCCAUGCCGCGUGUAUGAAGAAGGCCUUCGGGUUGUAAAGUACUUUCAGCGAGGAGGCGUUACUCGCAGAAGAAGCACCGGCUAACUCCGUGCCAGCAGCCGCGGUAAUUC
This 406-nucleotide ribosomal RNA is filed under the name uncultured bacterium. RNAcentral's name for it is "partial 16S ribosomal RNA". It matches the Rfam family "Bacterial small subunit ribosomal RNA", at positions 30 to 526 of the family's 1533-position model. The record is from RNAcentral.